GCACGCAUUUACAAUUAGAUGGACAAAUUCCACUGGGAUGCAGAUGGAAUGUCGAAAAAUGCUAUGACGAGACCCCGGCUAGACAAUUGGAUUUCUACCGGAAUGAGCUUGACCGUAUGAAGAUUUUUCAGAUGGAAUGGGAGCCCUACACCCAAUUUCUACCUCAGCUACCCCCAAUAUGCACAGAAUACCAAGUUGUAUGGAGAGCUAGAGUUCCUCUUAUAUGUUUGGAGAUAGUAGAAAUGCAUGUACCGGACCGCGUGCUUCGACAAUAUGGUCGUGCACAACAUGUUCCGCAAUUUGUUGAAAAGAUAGAGAGGAAAG
Molecule: long non-coding RNA, 324 nt
Organism: Asparagus officinalis (garden asparagus)
Lineage: Eukaryota; Viridiplantae; Streptophyta; Magnoliopsida; Asparagales; Asparagaceae
Exons: 3
Source: RefSeq, a predicted model, not a curated record